UUCUCUUCUUCCUCAUACCAUCUACCCCCGAUGUAACACCACCCUUGACCACCCUUUGACCAUCCUUGACCACCCGUCUACCACCCUAAUGCCGCCGCCAAAAAUCGCCUCACGGCGGCAGCCGGUCACCAAACCCCCCAAGAUUACACCAUCAAACCACCACAACCCCCUCUUUCCCGUCCUGUGGUUGAUUUCAGUCGAAUAAGUCUCCUCCGUCUCGAAUAUUCAAAAGUAAGGUCGUCGGAACCACCGCCUCCGGCGACCCUGUUCCAAACCUCCCCAACUUUACCUCGUAGGACCACCAGAAUCUCCCAUUCCCCGUCCUGCAAUCCAUCCUCUUCAAACGACCCCUCAUCGUCUCAAAUCUUCAAAAGAAGUCCAGUGGAACCCCCAUCUCCGGCAACCCAACCCCAAACCCCUCCAAAAUUACACCCCAGAAGCAUCUUAUCCUCCUCUUUCUCACUGUGUAUGUUACACCCUUCGAAUCCGCCUGAAACAUCUCGAAUAUUAAUUUGAAGUUUAACCCUAAAACUCAAACCUUAUCGGAAUCUGGUCAAACUCAUCUCAGCCAAUCCCCAGCCAUUUCCCUCCCCAACCAUGCCACCCACGACUCCCAAACACUACCAUUCACUGAGAAAACUCAAAUAUGAGACCUCACUUUGUCUCAGAAUCACAAAACCCUAGUCCUGAUGAAUCUUGUCAAACUCGUCUCAGGCAAUCCCCGGCCAUUCCCCUCCCCAACCAUGCCACCCACGACUUCCAAACACCACCAAUCACCGAGAAAAAUCAAAUCUGAGACCUUACUUGGUCUCAGAAUCAUAGAACCCCAGUCCUGAACCCCUAAAAUCCAUGAGUCCAAAAGGAGUUGCUUUAGAGGGUUAGAAACCUCUAUAGAAGAGGUCAGAAACCAACGGAAUGAUCUCCAAAUAGAUUUGCAUGUAUAAAAGCUAAGUGUUCUAUCUUUGUCUGUAUAUAUUUACUUCGUUUCUUUUAAUUGUUUGUUGUUUAUUUUGAAUAAUUGUUUGUUUUUCCACAAUUUCGUCUGAAAUAGGUUAAAUAGUCAUAUGCCUUUGGUUGUCACUGGUCUAAAAUCUCUUGAAUAUGACGAGGUCCAAGCACAAGCGCGCAAAUGUCCAUAUGCCUUUGGUUGUCACUGGUCUGAAAUCUCUUGAGUUGGUUUGAUGUCAUGUUAAUAUUAUCCCCCUGAUUCUGAAAUCCUGGCUUAAUGAUUCUUCAGUAAUGUUUGUUGAUAUUCGUCUCCUGAUUUUCAUUCCCUGAUACCCCAAUUGGUUUUGGUAGGCGUUUAUCUUGUGGAUCAUGUUUAUGUCACUGAGUAAUUGUUUUCAUCUCCAAUACUUGCAUGGAUUAGACUGAUUUAUUUUGCUAAACCUUUAAUUGAUAAUAUUAGCUUUUACUUUUCUGAUUUGAUUUAUGAACUAAAUGUCCAACGCCUGCUAUGUGCUUCUCAUUCUCAACUUUUUCUGUGUACUAUAAUCGAGCUAUUUCUACAAGUUAAGUGUUAAUGGAUGGUUUCCCUCUUCUGGUCAUUUUGAUUCAUUGUUUUUGAUACUAAAUGAUCAUCCUGAAUAAUGUUUGGUUACUAAAAAUCCACAUUAAGGCACUUGUUUUAAAACCUGAUUAGUUUUGGCUAAUUUUGAAAUUCAAUAAGCCUGUUAGUCCAAGACUAAAUUUGACCCAAACUUGAACAUAAUUGACCUGGGUCAAUU
This 1727-nucleotide long non-coding RNA is filed under the name Nicotiana benthamiana. RNAcentral describes it as "long non-coding RNA (NBEN_LNC010367)". The record is from RNAcentral. Lineage: Eukaryota; Viridiplantae; Streptophyta; Magnoliopsida; Solanales; Solanaceae.